This is a long non-coding RNA of Canis lupus familiaris (dog), 1882 nucleotides long. RefSeq lists it as uncharacterized. The record is from RefSeq and is a predicted model, not a curated record. NCBI's taxonomy places the organism in Eukaryota, Metazoa, Chordata, Mammalia, Carnivora, Canidae. The transcript has 2 exons.
GGGGGCCCCAAGUUCAGGGCCAGUUGAUAUUCCUUUGCAAGUGGCUCUGGAAACAUGUUCCAAUCACAGAAGCCCAGAAACUGAGAUCUCAGGGAGCGAUCCAGGCUGAGCGAGAGACUAGAGAACCUUUGGGAGUUGGGAGCACCGCCCCCCACCCGGAGCCCCGGUCUGGGGCACAAGGCCCCGCGGGUUCCAGGUACUCUCCUGGGAGGAACUGAGGGAGGGAGGUGGCGAGGCCCCGCAGUAGCUCGGGGGCUGACUCUGGGGACCUGGUACCUGUGCAGAAGGACCUGGCGGGGAUGGGUUGAGAGUAGAUGGUGCUGACGGGGUUGGUGGCCCUACAGGUGUAGGAGGGGACACUGUCCCCAGGCCUCCAGGAGGUGCUGAGGGCAGAGCCCUCGUGCACGGUGUCCCUGCAAUUGUCCCGGGAUAUCCAGCUGUAGGUCACGUCCUGGCCUGCCUCCUCCACGGAGCACGCCAGAGAGAGAUUGCAGCUCUCUUCCGCAGCCAUCUCAAAGUUCACGGAGACAUGAGGCUCCGACAGCCGUCCUGGACGCGGGAGGACACAAAGCCCUUGAGGCACUCAGGCCCAGGUUGGGUCUGCUGUCUUAAGCUCCUCAAUACCGGGGUGAAGGGCCGAGAGCCCCUCCACGUAGACAGAAAAAUCUGGUCCCGGGCUCCCCCGGGGCAGCUGCUAAGAUAGAGGGAGCCGCUUUGAGCACUACCCACACCCACUCCCCCCGCCCCCAUGCCCCCACGUCCUUCUGUCCCUCACCUGCGUGCCCUGCCUUCCUCCAAAUCUCAUUUUGCCGCCUCGAUCCCAAAACACAUUAUCACACUUCCUGGGGGCAUUUAUAGUUUAAUCAGUGUCUCUGCAAGAUUCACGGUAGAGAAUCAGCCAGUGUCACAGGCACUGAGCAAUGUGGUUCGGCUACACAGGGGUAUGGGUUAGCAGCCCCCACAUGGCACGGGAGGAUGGAAGGCUGAGGAAUAGAGGUGGGAGCGAAGGGCCCCUGGGGUCUGCUCGUGAAGCUCCUGACCCCUCUCGCUAUGCCGGGAAGGUCUCGGGGAAGAGCCUGCGUGCCCAGGGCCUCCCCGGGCCGGGCCACUCCGUUUGAGGCCGCCGCUCAGAUCCCGCCGGGCUUGGGCACCCCGGGCACAGUGUGCCUUCCAGACCCCACCCCUCAAACCGUAACUCUGAGUCCCGAGACCUCGGGUGCUUUGCACACAAAGCUCAGGGAGAGCCGGGAACAAGCAGCCACAGGGUCCCCGGCCUAAACUCACGGUAGACGCGCAGGCUGUACCGCUGCAUGGAGGAUGCCUGCGAUGUCCUCAGGUUGACCUGAGCGUAGUAGAGCCCCGAGUCCUCCCAGCUCAGAUUGCUGAUGCACAGGGAGUAGUCGGGGCCCACCAGGCUCACCCGGCGCUGGUAUCGAGGGUUGGUCAGCACGAUUUUGGUCGGCUGUCCCUCUCUGCCCGGAAUCACCACGGCAAGGCUCGCCGAGGAGGACCAGAUGAUGUUCUCGACCUCCUCAUCGGCCGGUAUCUCCACGGGGAGGCUGAUGGACUCCUGAAGGACCCCAACUACUUCCUCUGCAUCCACAUCAUCUCCAGAAUACCCUUCGGCUGCAGAAAAAGGAAGAAAAGACGGAAACAGUGCAGCUGGCGCCUGGCUCUGGGCUGCUGAGCCUGGCACGGGAGGGGGGCACUGCCAGGUGGGUUCCAUCUUUUGGGGCAUCUCUGUCCCCUGCUAGACACAUGGAGCGACCAAUUGAUAUUUCUGGAAUGGAUGAAUAAGUGAAAUAUUCCUAUUUGAAGCUUGCUAGAUUCCCACUUAACUGUUUAGAGGAAGAAAAAAUUUUAACCCUCAAAAAAAAAAAAA